Molecule: ribosomal RNA, 253 nt
Filed under: uncultured bacterium
Lineage: Bacteria
Description: partial 16S ribosomal RNA
Rfam family: Bacterial small subunit ribosomal RNA
Source: RNAcentral
UACGUAGGGGGCGAGCGUUGUCCGGAAUCAUUGGGCGUAAAGCGCGUGUAGGCGGCCCGGUAAGUCCGCUGUGAAAGUCCAGGGCUCAACCCUGGGAUGCCGGUGGAUACUGUCGGGCUCGAGUCCGGAAGAGGCGAGUGGAAUUCCUGGUGUAGCGGUGGAAUGCGCAGAUAUCAGGAGGAACACCGAUAGCGAAGGCAGCUCGCUGGGACGGUACUGACGCUGAGGCGCGAAAGCGUGGGGAGCGAACAGG